GAUGAACGCUGGCGGCGUGCCUAAUACAUGCAAGUCGAGCGAACAGACGAGGAGCUUGCUCCUCUGACGUUAGCGGCGGACGGGUGAGUAACACGUGGAUAACCUACCUAUAAGACUGGGAUAACUUCGGGAAACCGGAGCUAAUACCGGAUAAUAUAUUGAACCGCAUGGUUCCAUCGUGAAAGACGGUUUUGCUGUCACUUAUAGAUGGAUCCGCGCCGCAUUAGCUAGUUGGUAAGGUAACGGCUUACCAAGGCAACGAUGCGUAGCCGACCUGAGAGGGUGAUCGGCCACACUGGAACUGAGACACGGUCCAGACUCCUACGGGAGGCAGCAGUAGGGAAUCUUCCGCAAUGGGCGAAAGCCUGACGGAGCAACGCCGCGUGAGUGAUGAAGGUCUUCGGAUCGUAAAACUCUGUUAUUAGGGAAGAACAAAUGUGUAAGUAACUAUGCACGUCUUGACGGUACCGAAUCAGAAAGCCACGGCUAACUACGUG
This 497-nucleotide ribosomal RNA is filed under the name uncultured bacterium. RNAcentral describes it as "partial 16S ribosomal RNA". It matches the Rfam family "Bacterial small subunit ribosomal RNA", at positions 28 to 507 of the family's 1533-position model. The record is from RNAcentral.